GAGAGGCUGCAGUCAAUGAGAGGCUUCUUGAGGAGGUGUUCCUCAUAUGGAAAUCAUUUUAGCGGCGACGCAGUUGCGCGACCAGUGAAGCUCUGGCUCCGCGACCGGCGUGGAGCGCGCGGGCCACGCGGCGCUGCUGCGGCUGCUGCGCGGGAGGAUCCCGUCCCUGCGCAUGCGCCUGGCCUUCAAUGACCUCACGCCUCUCUUCUUCCUCUUCUUCAUGCGCCAAUUCAAACAGAGGAGCACCUGUGAUUACUGAUUACCUAAGUUCCUAUAUACAAUAAUAGUUUAAUAAUUGUUAACAAAAUAUUGUAUAUAUAAGUAUUAAUAAUUACUUAUACAAAAGGCUAAAAGCAUUUUGUACCAGCCAACCUAUAGGAGAGAAUAUGAGAAAAAUAAUAAGACUUUAAUCUUUGAUUGCCAUUAUCUGUAGCUUUAUUAAGUGGUAAAGGGACCUAAUUACUACCUAUAUUUUUUUAGUAUUUGUGAUAAUUCAUAGAAUUUAUUAGUUCUAUCAAUAAAUAAAAUAUACAUGCAA
Plutella xylostella (diamondback moth) is the source of this 538-nucleotide long non-coding RNA. RefSeq lists it as uncharacterized. NCBI's taxonomy places the organism in Eukaryota, Metazoa, Arthropoda, Insecta, Lepidoptera, Plutellidae. The record is from RefSeq and is a predicted model, not a curated record.